Molecule: ribosomal RNA, 518 nt
Filed under: Streptosporangium sp. 310G10
Lineage: Bacteria; Bacillati; Actinomycetota; Actinomycetes; Streptosporangiales; Streptosporangiaceae
Description: bacterial SSU rRNA
Rfam family: Bacterial small subunit ribosomal RNA
Source: RNAcentral
GAGCGGCGAACGGGUGAGUAACACGUGAGUAACCUGCCCCUGACUCUGGGAUAAGCCCGGGAAACUGGGUCUAAUACCGGAUAUGACACCUCCUGGCAUCGGGUGGGUGUGGAAAGUUUUUUCGGUUGGGGAUGGACUCGCGGCCUAUCAGCUUGUUGGUGGGGUAAUGGCCUACCAAGGCGACGACGGGUAGCCGGCCUGAGAGGGCGACCGGCCACACUGGGACUGAGACACGGCCCAGACUCCUACGGGAGGCAGCAGUGGGGAAUAUUGCGCAAUGGGCGAAAGCCUGACGCAGCGACGCCGCGUGGGGGAUGACGGCCUUCGGGUUGUAAACCUCUUUCAGCAGGGACGAAGUUGACGUGUACCUGCAGAAGAAGCGCCGGCUAACUACGUGCCAGCAGCCGCGGUAAUACGUAGGGCGCAAGCGUUGUCCGGAAUUAUUGGGCGUAAAGAGCUCGUAGGUGGCUUGUCACGUCGGGUGUGAAAGCUUGGGGCUUAACUCCAGGUCUGCAUUC